RNAcentral lists this ribosomal RNA (1236 nucleotides) under metagenome. RNAcentral describes it as "bacterial LSU rRNA". It matches the Rfam family "Bacterial large subunit ribosomal RNA", at positions 1564 to 2810 of the family's 2925-position model. The record is from RNAcentral.
UGAAUACGAGACGCUAAGGCGUCGAAGUAGUGUAUGUCAUACUUCCAAGAAAAGCUUGCACUGUCAUAGAUAAAAAACGCCUGUACCAUAACCGACACAGGUGGGUAGGUAGAGUAUACUAAGGGGCGCGAGAUAACUCUCUCUAAGGAACUCGGCAAAAUAACUCCGUAACUUCGGGAGAAGGAGUGCCUUAUUCGUAAGGUUGCAAUAACAAGAUCCAAGCAACUGUUUAUCAAAAACACAGGUCUCCGCUAAGUCGUAAGACGAUGUAUGGGGGCUGACGCCUGCCCAGUGCCAGAAGGUUAAAGAAGUUGGUUAGCAUUUGCGAAGCUAGUGACUGAAGCCCUGGUGAACGGCGGCCGUAACGAUAACGGUCCUAAGGUAGCGAAAUUCCUUGUCGGGUAAGUUCCGACCCGCACGAAAGGCGUAAUGAUUUGGAUACUGUCUCGGAGAGGGGCUCGGUGAAAUAGACUUGUCUGUGAAGAUGCGGACUACCUGCACCAGGACAGAAAGACCCUAUGAAGCUUUACUGUAACUUGAAAUUGAAAUUGGACUUUAUUCGCGCAGUAUAGGUGGGAGGCGUUGAUUAUAAUCUUGCGGGAUUAUUGGAGCCAUCAGUGAGAUACCACUCUUGUAAUGUUAGAUUUCUAACUUUGAAUCAUUAUCUGGUCAAAGGACAGUUUCAGGCGGGCAGUUUGACUGGGGCGGUCGCCUCCCAAACGGUAACGGAGGCGUACAAAGGUUUCCUCUGAACGGUUAGAAAUCGUAUCUAGAGUGUAAAGGCAUAAGGAAGCUCGACUGUGAGACCUACAAGUCGAGCAGGGACGAAAGUCGGUCUUAGUGAUCUGACGGUACUGAGUGGAAAGGCCGUCACUCAACGGAUAAAAGUUACUCUAGGAUAACAGGCUGAUCUCCCCCAAGAGUUCACAUCGACGGGGAGGUUUGGCACCUCGAUGUCGGCUCAUCGCAUCCUGGGGCGGUAGUACGUCCCAAGGGUUGGGCUGUUCGCCCAUGAAAGCGGUACGCGAGCUGGGUUCAGAACGUCGUGAGACAGUUCGGUCCAUAUCCGGUGUAGGCGCUAGAAUAUUGAGAGGAGCCUUCUUUAGUACGAGAGGACCGAGAAGGACAUACCUCUGGUGUACCAGUUAUCGUGCCAACGGUAAACGCUGGGUAGCUAUGUAUGGAGUGGAUAACCGCUGAAAGCAUCUAAGUGGGAAGCCCACCUCAAGAUAAGUA